This is a long non-coding RNA of Apis mellifera (honey bee), 1019 nucleotides long. RefSeq lists it as uncharacterized. Lineage: Eukaryota; Metazoa; Arthropoda; Insecta; Hymenoptera; Apidae. The transcript is spliced from 2 exons. The record is from RefSeq and is a predicted model, not a curated record.
AUUUAUAAAUCGAUAAAAAAAAAAAAAAAAAAUCUGGUCAAUAGACGAAUAAAGAAUCGUUACGAUUGUUAUCAAUUUCAACGUGAUGAUUAUAUAUUAAACGUGUACAAACUAUAGAAAAUUAUUCUAUGCAAGUUGUAGUCGACACCUGUUGCUUCAUAAAGCCGCAUAUCCAUCGGACGGUAUAGCAACAUAUAUGCGCGACGCGACAUUAUAUAAAUGCGCGUUAAGAAUAUCGGAAAAAAUUUUCAAAGGUUAAUAACGAUAAUUGUUUUUAUUCGCAAAAAAAGAGCCGACGCGUCUUUUAUUCGCGCAAUUAUUUACAUUUCCAGUCACGAGAACGAGAUAUGCAAAUUAUCGAGCUUGCCAAUAACUUGUCGUUUUACGCGCAAUAUUUUAGAACUGCAUGAAAGCACGGUAAUCAUGGCCGACUGAAACUACUACGAGCAAAAGAAAAAAAAAAAAGAAAAAAAAAAAGAAAAAAAAAGAGGAAAAAGUACGUCGAGCUUAGUGGCAGACAAAAAUAAGGAACCAAGAAUAAUAAUUGACGGGGGACGCAACGCUAACGUUAAGCAGAGCUACGAUAAGUUACGCCUCGAGAUUAUUUGGAAUUCAGGGCGAUCGAUAACGCGAGAAGACGAUCAGUUGACACAGUGUGAACGCGCCUUUAUGCGUAUAUAUACACACACACAGUAUCAGAUAUGCCUGAUAUGACGUUAGUCUUCUUUACGAUUUCGAUAAUUUGCAUACAUCCGUAAAACUUGUUUAUUAACUGCUAAACAGCUUUUUCACGCUAUUAUAAAUAUCGUUGACCUUUAAAUUCCGUUUCCACAUGUGCCAAAAAAUUUAAAUUUCAAUCUUCCGAUCGAGAGUCCGGAUAGUCAGGAUAAUUGCUAAAGAAUCAACACCGAUUAAUUAUAUCAAAGAUUACAAAAUAUCGUAGUUAUUAAAAAAAAUAGUUACAUAACUUGAAGCAAACAUUAAGCUUAUGUAAAUAAAUAUUAUCUUUGUUGUUACGA